UACAGAGGGUGCGAGCGUUAAUCGGAAUUACUGGGCGUAAAGCGUGCGUAGACGGUAGCGUAAGUCAGAUGUGAAAGCCCCGGGCUCAACCUGGGAACUGCAUUUGUGACUGCACGGCUAGAGUGCGGCAGAGGGGGAUGGAAUUCCGCGUGUAGCAGUGAAAUGCGUAGAUAUGCGGAGGAACACCGAUGGCGAAGGCAAUCCCCUGGGCCUGCACUGACGCUCAUGCACGAAAGCGUGGGGAGCAAACAGG
This 253-nucleotide ribosomal RNA is filed under the name uncultured bacterium. RNAcentral's name for it is "partial 16S ribosomal RNA". It matches the Rfam family "Bacterial small subunit ribosomal RNA", at positions 524 to 776 of the family's 1533-position model. The record is from RNAcentral.